CCGACCUUAGCUCAGUUGGUAGAGCGGAGGACUGUAGUUGGUUUGUGACCCACAUGUUAUCCUUAGGUCCCAGGUUCGAAUCCGGCAGGUCGGA
This is a non-coding RNA of Beta vulgaris subsp. vulgaris (sugar beet), 94 nucleotides long. NCBI's taxonomy places the organism in Eukaryota, Viridiplantae, Streptophyta, Magnoliopsida, Caryophyllales, Amaranthaceae. The record is from Rfam.